AUAUAUAUAUAUUGAUAUUUUGCUUAGACUCUGUGAGGCUAAUGACCUAGUGUAGAACUCAAUAUACAUGUGCUUCAGAAUGAAGCAUUAGUUGAGUAGAGAACAGUUAUAAGAAAAUGAGAUGACAAAGGAAUAAAUGAUUAUUUCAUGAAUUUU
Long non-coding RNA from Octopus sinensis (East Asian common octopus), 156 nucleotides. RefSeq lists it as uncharacterized. The record is from RefSeq and is a predicted model, not a curated record. NCBI's taxonomy places the organism in Eukaryota, Metazoa, Mollusca, Cephalopoda, Octopoda, Octopodidae. The transcript has 3 exons.